GCCGGUUUAGCUCAGUUGGUAGAGCAGUCGCUUUGUAAGCAAAUGGCCAGCGGUUCGAGUCCGUUAACCGGCACCA
Molecule: transfer RNA, 76 nt
Filed under: Escherichia coli
Lineage: Bacteria; Pseudomonadati; Pseudomonadota; Gammaproteobacteria; Enterobacterales; Enterobacteriaceae
Description: tRNA-Thr
Rfam family: tRNA
About the family: Transfer RNA (tRNA) molecules are approximately 80 nucleotides in length. Their secondary structure includes four short double-helical elements and three loops (D, anti-codon, and T loops).
Source: RNAcentral